AGAAGCAACAGUGAAGAAGGUGGAUCAAGUGAAAGGAUGGAUAAACAGUCCAAGACAAUAAAAAUGAAUGGGUGGACAUAGCUGCUGUGUAAAGUAAAAUAUAGAAACAGACUUCACUGCCACAGAAGCUGCUGACAUAGGAGGAAACAGAGGGAUGGAUUGGAACAGAAAGAAGCUUCAAUCAAUAACUGGAAUCAAAACAACCGUGAAAAUCUGGAUCCAGAUGCUCUUCACCC
This is a long non-coding RNA of Passer domesticus (house sparrow), 236 nucleotides long. RefSeq lists it as uncharacterized. The transcript has 3 exons. The record is from RefSeq and is a predicted model, not a curated record. NCBI's taxonomy places the organism in Eukaryota, Metazoa, Chordata, Aves, Passeriformes, Passeridae.